UGGGGAAUAUUGCACAAUGGGGGAAACCCUGAUGCAGCGACGCCGCGUGAAGGAAGAAGGUUUUCGGAUCGUAAACUUCUAUCAGCAGGGAAGAAAAUGACGGUACCUGACUAAGAAGCCCCGGCUAACUACGUGCCAGCAGCCGCGGUAAUACGUAGGGGGCAAGCGUUAUCCGGAAUCACUGGGUGUAAAGGGUGCGUAGGCGGUAAGGUAAGUCAGAUGUGAAAACCCGGGGCUCAACUUCGGGAUUGCAUUUGAAACUACUUAACUAGAGUGCAGGAGAGGAAAGUGGAAUUCCUAGUGUAGCGGUGAAAUGCGUAGAUAUUAGGAGGAACACCAGUGGCGAAGGCGGCUUUCUGGACUGUAACUGACGCUGAGGCACGAAAGCGUGGGGAGCGAACAGGAUUAGAUACCCCCGUAGUCC
RNAcentral lists this ribosomal RNA (424 nucleotides) under uncultured prokaryote. Its description in RNAcentral is "bacterial SSU rRNA". It matches the Rfam family "Bacterial small subunit ribosomal RNA", at positions 355 to 796 of the family's 1533-position model. The record is from RNAcentral.